Molecule: non-coding RNA, 462 nt
Organism: Camelina sativa (false flax)
Lineage: Eukaryota; Viridiplantae; Streptophyta; Magnoliopsida; Brassicales; Brassicaceae
Source: RefSeq, a predicted model, not a curated record
UUCUCGAUCUUCUUUUGUUUUCUUUUUUUUUUUUUAAUUUACCGAUUCUGAAAUUAAGAAAGCAUAUCGAAGGCUCUCCAUUCAAUACCAUCCUGACAAAAAUCCCGAUCCAGAGGCCAAUAAAUAUUUUGUGGAGUUCACAUCUAAAGCGUACCAGGCUUUGACUGAUCCUGUAUCCCGUGAAAACUUUGAGAAGUAUGGUCAUCCUGAUGGCAGACAAGUAAGCCAUGUGAUGCAGGGAUUUCAAAUGGGCAUUGCUCUUCCUCAGUUUCUUUUAGACAUAGAUGUAGCAUCUCUGGUGGCAUGUUAUUGCUUUGGAUUGUUGGUGUCUGUAUUCUCUUGCCCCUUGUGAUUGCUGUUAUAUAUCUUUUGUUCUUCAGCAAAGUUAUGGAAGUUUAGCAAAUUUACUAUUUGUGUGUUAGAAUCAUACCUAUAAAUAUUGCUUUGUGUUUGGGUUUUUAA